Engraulis encrasicolus (European anchovy) is the source of this 1216-nucleotide long non-coding RNA. RefSeq lists it as uncharacterized. The record is from RefSeq and is a predicted model, not a curated record. NCBI's taxonomy places the organism in Eukaryota, Metazoa, Chordata, Actinopteri, Clupeiformes, Engraulidae. The transcript has 4 exons.
CGAACCAGACAAACCAGCUGGGAGGAGGACGGAAGCACCCCUUCUCCAUCCGCGUUCAGUUGCUAAAUACGGAUCCACCCCGUAGUAAGUAACCUACCAUGUUUACGCACACAUUACUUUGACCAGCAAAGCCCAUGUCUUUCUAGUGGUUUACAAAAAUAUAUCGUUUGCAUGUUUUGCUUUGGUACGUCUCUGUUGUAUGACUCUGGUAAUAGUAGCAAGCACAAGCACAACCUCGCCGCUCCAGCAUUGCAAAAUAGAUUGCCUUGGGUUUUCAAAUGUUUACAUGAUUGUGGGUGUAAUGUUGUUAAGUCGCUGAUGUCGUUUUUGAGAAGACGGUAGUUUUGCAUUUGAUAAAUACCACCUAAUGACCAUGACGGCUACACGGCAGAUCUUUAUUGUGAUGGCUACACUGAAUGAUCACAUGGAGAUGCCGGUACAUUAUUUGUUUUACCCUGGUUAUAUUGAAAUGUUCUGCUUUGUCCAUUCCAAGGUGUGGUGUUUUCCAUAGCUGCUCCUUGCUCCUGUUUCACAACAUAUCAAGGCUGCCAAGUAAAUGAAGAAUGAAUCACCGCACACUGGUCAACAGCCGACAGGGUCCUUCCACAACCACAUACUUAUGCCAGUAAAAGCCACAGCUUUUCUCCUCCAAUCCAAGAAGCCUGGACUGCAGUCACCAUCUCAACACACCAACCAAGAGAAAGGCGGAUGGCUCAAUUCAAUAUGGAAAAUUGCACAAUAAAAGUUCCAGGACAUGAAGGCUGCAUACUGUGAACGUCAACCUUCAGGGCACCGUCCUGCGCAGAAGACUUUCUACCCUAAGAGGGAUGGCUGACCGCAGACACUCACAACCAGCACAGACGCCUCCAACCUCAAACUAGGCCCUUCACAGUUGCUGCACUUACCCACCUUCCCAGAGUUUUUGUGUGGUAAUGACAACUGUAAAUAUAGUAUAAAGUAAUGUAUCUAGUGUCAUGUGUAAUACAUUGUUUAAAUUGUCCAUACAUUUCAAUGACAGUAAAUAUUGGUGGACACAAUUUGACUGUGUGGCUUUUUUUAAAAUUCAUUCUCUGACUGAAAAUGCAUGGUUACAUAAUUUAUAUAUUCCACAAGACCACAAUCAGAAGAACAUUUGACAGGUUGCAUUUAUUUUCUAUGUAUGAAAAAAACAAUGGUAACAAGACAAACGUGGUUCCAAACCAAAAAGGUGAGAUGU